RNAcentral lists this small RNA (100 nucleotides) under Oscheius tipulae. Lineage: Eukaryota; Metazoa; Nematoda; Chromadorea; Rhabditida; Rhabditidae. The record is from RNAcentral.
GGUUUAAUUACCCAAGUUUGAGGUAUUCAAAUGCUUCCAAUCCUGCUUAUGUAGAGGUUGAAAAAGAUUUUGCAACAGUCUUCCCUAAACUGGAAAGACG